Molecule: long non-coding RNA, 1851 nt
Organism: Xenopus laevis (African clawed frog)
Lineage: Eukaryota; Metazoa; Chordata; Amphibia; Anura; Pipidae
Exons: 3
Source: RefSeq, a predicted model, not a curated record
GCUUUCUCAAUUCAGAGGAAAAAAAGUCCAGUUGUUUUGACUUAUUUCUACAGGUAUACUUCUGAUGUUCCUGUUUUGUUUGUAGAGCUGUUUGUUCUUCUGACACCACCCUGUAUACUUUUGAUUUUAUAGGAAAGAAAUGAUUACAUCCCUUUCUGCUCAUUUGCUUAACUAUUUCUACUUCAUUUUCUCCUUGGAUGGUGUAUUUUUUCUUCAGAGCAUACCAGCAACAGUGAUUCUAAUACAAAAUAAUAUUAACAUGUUAGACAAAUCUGCAUUAUCAGACAUUCAAGUAUAAAUUUUGAUUGACUUUCGGCCUUGGGGGCAUUUGUAGACCUGGCAAGCCAAGGUAAAAAUAAGAGCAAUUAUCGCCAUGAAAAAGUGAUGAUAUGUGUCCUGCUUGUGAAAAACUCUUCCUUGCCAUUACAACAAAGACAACCUUGAUACAAACGUGAAUAUAUAAUUAGCCUUACACCCUUAGGUGUGAAAGUGCUCUAGGCUUUACGUAUGUGUGAUACUCUUCAUUAUUAUAUUGUUUCUCAAAGAUAUCUCCCAGGAAUAGCCUAAGCAACUCUUCAUGACCCACUGAUGAAAAUCACCACUGCAUAAUUUAUUCCAUGUGUGAGUGUUGCCUUCCAUUUAACCACAAAUUGGCAUCACUAUAGGUGAAACUUAACAAUGUAAUAAUGUUAUGAGAUGUGGGCUACACAUUCCUUAAAUGACAGCCAGGAUUCUAAACAAGUAGCUUAUAUAAACAAGUAUAGAUGGAGCACUGACUAAACCUGGUCAUUUAUUGGAAAAUCCCGAAUUGUUUUCUUUUCCUAGGUGUUAAUCUGUUUCAAAUGACUGUAAAUCACAUGAACUGCUUUAUUGGAUUUUCACAAAAACAAGAGAAAUCAACAUGACAACAAAUACCAUGUAGACUCAGAAGAUGUGCUGUAAUAGGUACAAUGGCAUGUUAUUUUCAAAAAUGAAUGGACAAAUACAUAGAAAAGCCAACUAAAUCAAAAAGAAAAGAAAGAAAAGGCCCAUUGUUUUCAGGAAUGUUUGACUACCCAGUAGUCAUUCAUUUUACAUUAGAAGGAACUGAGAUAUUUGACCUCUGGUACUGGAGUCGCAGAUCGCAAAGUAAGGAGACCAUGUAACUGAUGCAGAAGUCCCUCUUGCAGGAAAGCAUGCACAGAAUGAGGACGAGAGGAGGACCAACCCAGCCAGGAUUGACUGACCAGACCAAGGCAGCAACAACAAUCAAUCGAGAUCAGAGAACUCACAAUGAACAGGAGGAAGCCAAGUCAUUACCAAGGAAGUCUGGCCAAGAAACUGAGCCAACAAGGAAUGGAGGGAUCUAAAGUUCAAGAACACGCUGAGUUAAGCCUUGAAAUCAGUCCAGCCGAGCGAUGUACUGAAGGGGAAGAUCGUUUGUCAAAGUUCAAAACCGAAAACUGAGAUCAGAGCCAAAGAUUUGUGGUGCAAUGCUUCCAGGAACGUUGAGUAUAACUGCGCACCGCCCUGUGCAUGUGCAAACCCUUAAAAGGUCAGGAGUGCAGCCUGCAAACCCCGGAACGGAUUUGCAGUGCCUAACAGUUUGACCCAUGAUCAUUCCAGAAUAUUUUGAAACUUAUAUUUAAAUGAUCGAUUUUAGGAAAUGUAACUAUCUGCUGUAUCCUAAGAAAUCAUUUUGGGAUAACCCAUGCUCCAUCUGUAGUUUAUAUUGGUUGACCCUUCCUAUUUAAAUUCAGUGAUGGGUCAAUGGAAGGAUCUUAUUUUUUUUAAUAUAGACAAACAAAUUUAUAGAAUAUAAAGUUAGAUGUAAGUGCCCUAUUCAUUUUUAUUAAACACCAAGCCUGAGAA